Dicentrarchus labrax (European seabass) is the source of this 1312-nucleotide long non-coding RNA. RefSeq lists it as uncharacterized. The record is from RefSeq and is a predicted model, not a curated record. The transcript is spliced from 5 exons. NCBI's taxonomy places the organism in Eukaryota, Metazoa, Chordata, Actinopteri, Moronidae.
UCAAGGUGGAACCAACUUUUUAUAGGAUUCAGUUACAGAUAGGAAAUAGAAAUAUAACAAGAGCCUAAGAUAUAUAAUAAAAUAAUAGAGCCUAUAGUUUCCAUAGUUCCCACAGAGCGUGUCAGCAGCAGUCUACCUGCAACCAUCAAACACAGAAUAAAUCAUCAGGUUGCAUUCAUUAAAUGGCAUAUUCAUGAUAUAUUAUAUUAUAUUGAUUGUAUUGAUCGCAACAGAUUUUACAAUUGCAAUAGGAACAGUUAGUGGGAAUGAUCAUUUGUGAAUCCCAAUUUUCAUUUGCUUAUUUUUCUUGAUCACUGAGUAACUAAAGUAGCUGAAAGCUCAAAAGAAACAUUUGCUUGUAAAAAAAAAAAAAAAAAAAUACAGAAGGAGUGACAUUUAAUAUCUAAUAAAGUCUUUAAAAAUCAAAGACGGAAAAGCUGUUUUAAAGAUGACACUGGUGUCUAGAAUCUGUACAAUUAUUGGAAGAUUAGUGAGACUUAAACAAUUUGUAUCACAACAAAAGGAAAACAAAAACAAAGACAGUGUCACUAUGUUCCUGCCAGAUACAGUAGUGGAAUAAUUCAAUGAGCCAAUAAUCAAUAAUAAUCAGACCCUCUAGUGGCAGCAGAUCUUAUUGGCUCCAAUAAAGGUCAAUCACACACAGCUGGCUCGGUUUCAGUGUUACUGCCGGUACUGCUCCACAAGAGCAACGUUACACUGUUUGAUCAGUCAGUGAGACAAUGACAGUGGAUAAUGACCUUAAUCGAUCUCUGAUAUUCUCACACAGCGAGGAAACAACAAACAGGUUCAAGUAUCCGGAGCGACCGCGAACUUUCCGUCAUGGCGUCAGUUCGCCUGAGCAGCCCGGUGGAGAGUCUGUUCCCUGGUGGAGAGUCAUUGUGGACUAGAGAGGGAAUACUGGGAAUAUCUGCUUCAUGGAGACGUUUGGAGGACGAGAGGAAGAAGAAAAGAGGACAUAAGACGAAGAACUGGAGUUUGUUGUGAGUUAGAAGGAGGACUGCUGCUGAGGCUCUGUGGGAACUAUGGAAGAGUCUUCAGUUUCUUACAGGUUGAAGGCUGAUGUCCAGAGUUACAGGAGGACUGGUGUUGACACGGCCUGCAGGAAACACAGAAGAGUCUUCAGAUAUUGGAGAGGUCCGUGGGGUGAAAUCCAACCUCAAAAUUAACCCAAAUGCCAUCGCUCCCAACCAGAACCCCGGACACGCUGCUGUAACAGUCUUCCACCGCAAUGCUGUGGUAUGUAUCUUACAUUAUUCUUGUAUAUGUAGUAGUGUCUAAUAUAACAUAGUUG